RNAcentral lists this ribosomal RNA (882 nucleotides) under Listeria monocytogenes. RNAcentral describes it as "partial 23S ribosomal RNA". It matches the Rfam family "Bacterial large subunit ribosomal RNA", at positions 730 to 1606 of the family's 2925-position model. Lineage: Bacteria; Bacillati; Bacillota; Bacilli; Caryophanales; Listeriaceae. The record is from RNAcentral.
CUACCCAUGUCCAGGAUGAAGGUAAGGUAAUACUUACUGGAGGUCCGAACCCACGCACGUUGAAAAGUGCGGGGAUGAGGUGUGGGUAGCGGAGAAAUUCCAAUCGAACUUGGAGAUAGCUGGUUCUCUCCGAAAUAGCUUUAGGGCUAGCCUCGAGGUAAAGAGUCAUGGAGGUAGAGCACUGUUUGGACUAGGGGCCCUUCUCGGGUUACCGAAUUCAGAUAAACUCCGAAUGCCAUGUACUUAUACUCGGGAGUCAGACUGCGAGUGAUAAGAUCCGUAGUCGAAAGGGAAACAGCCCAGACCACCAGUUAAGGUCCCCAAAUAUAUGUUAAGUGGAAAAGGAUGUGGGGUUGCUUAGACAACCAGGAUGUUGGCUUAGAAGCAGCCACCAUUGAAAGAGUGCGUAAUAGCUCACUGGUCGAGUGACCCCGCGCCGAAAAUGUACCGGGGCUAAACAUAUUACCGAAACUGUGGAUGAACCUCAUUAGAGGUUCGUGGUAGGAGAGCGUUCUAAGGGCGGUGAAGUCAGACCGGAAGGACUGGUGGAGCGCUUAGAAGUGAGAAUGCCGGUAUGAGUAGCGAAAGAAGGGUGAGAAUCCCUUCCACCGAAUAUCUAAGGUUUCCUGAGGAAGGCUCGUCCGCUCAGGGUUAGUCGGGACCUAAGCCGAGGCCGAUAGGCGUAGGCGAUGGACAACAGGUAGAGAUUCCUGUACCAGUGCUAAUUGUUUAACCGAUGGGGUGACACAGAAGGAUAGGGAAUCGCACGAAUGGAAAUGUGCGUCCAAGCAGUGAGUGUGAGAAGUAGGCAAAUCCGCUUCUCGCGAAGCAUGAGCUGUGAUGGGGAAGGAAAUUAAGUACGGAAGUUCCUGAUUUCACGCU